CCAUGCCGCGUGCGGGAAGAAGGCCUUCGGGUUGUAAACCGCUUUCGGCCGGAACGAAAUCGCCCGGGUGAAUAGCCCGGGUGGAUGACGGUACCGGAAGAAGAAGCACCGGCUAACUACGUGCCAGCAGCCGCGGUAAUACGUAGGGUGCGAGCGUUAAUCGGAAUUACUGGGCGUAAAGCGUGCGCAGGCGGUCUCGUAAGACAGGUGUGAAAUCCCCGGGCUCAACCUGGGAACUGCGCUUGUGACUGCGAGGCUGGAGUGUGGCAGAGGGAGGUGGAAUUCCACGUGUAGCAGUGAAAUGCGUAGAGAUGUGGAGGAACACCGAUGGCGAAGGCAGCCUCCUGGGCCAGCACUGACGCUCAUGCACGAAAGCGUGGGGAGCAAACAGGAUUAGAUACCCUGGUAGUCCACGCCCUAAACGAUGACGACUAGUUGUUGGGGUAGAAGUACCUUAGUAACGCAGCUAACGCGUGAAGUCGUCCGCCUGGGGAGUACGGUCGCAAGAUUA
RNAcentral lists this ribosomal RNA (511 nucleotides) under uncultured Pseudomonadota bacterium. RNAcentral describes it as "bacterial SSU rRNA". It matches the Rfam family "Bacterial small subunit ribosomal RNA", at positions 392 to 896 of the family's 1533-position model. The record is from RNAcentral. Lineage: Bacteria; Pseudomonadati; Pseudomonadota.